Fukomys damarensis (Damara mole-rat) is the source of this 981-nucleotide long non-coding RNA. RefSeq lists it as uncharacterized. The record is from RefSeq and is a predicted model, not a curated record. The transcript has 7 exons. NCBI's taxonomy places the organism in Eukaryota, Metazoa, Chordata, Mammalia, Rodentia, Bathyergidae.
GGGCGUCUCUCUACGCAGGCGCACUUCAGAGUGCGGUGCCUGGAGCCCAAGUCUGACGCGCAUGCUCGGGGGAGAAGGCGGGCGAGGCGUCUGCUGGAUGGUGCAGAGACCGGAAGCCGCCUUACAGAGGCGAGAGCUCCGGAGAAGGACUAAACGCGCAGCGUGCGAGGCGGCCGCCCUACCUGGUCGACGGUUGGACCGAGGCUGAGAAGCAGUCCUUCAGAAUACGCGGCCUGCCAGAUCUGUAGUAAGAUCAGUGCUGAACACAAGGCUGUUUCUGGCUUCCGGAGGACAGAGCUGGGGCCUUCCAGAUGUCUCUUGCCCAAGUCUCUUCACUAGGAUCCUGUCCAUACCGCUCUCUCAGCUGCUGUGGCACUCUCUGCUGGAACCAGUCCAAGGUUAUCUCCAGGUCAGCAAAGCGACUCUGAAAGAAAGUAACAGUUCUGCUGACGUAGUGCAAGCGCGAGCCUCUCUGCACAAAAUGGCGGCCACAUAUGCCAGAUGCCUGUCCAUGGACCAAAGUCAUUUCAGAACAUGAGCAAAGUGCCUACAUACAUACAAGUAAGUUGCAGUUUAGCCCAAGCUGGGCUUGAACAUGAGAUCCUCCUCUCUGAGCUUCCCACGGUGCUGGGAUUACAGCGUUUCUUUGAGCUCUUUUGAGAACAAAUCCGAAAUGACUGAGCAAUACUGACUUAAGCAACCACAUACUCGUUACUCAUCCAGGAAGCAGAGUGGUAUGUGGAGAAUGAAGCCACCUUGGUUCUCCUGGAGGGGCGGCCAGGCAGGUCCACAGAGCUGGGCCAGUGGUUUCUGGACCCUGGUCUCCCCUUUCACUAUGUAGAAGACUUCUGCGCAGCUUCCCAUGAGGUUCUGUCUUCCCAAAUAGCUCAAAGUAAAGCAAUUAGAAAUAAAAUUAUAAUCAGAGAAAGUUUACUCUCAUGAUUUUAAUGUUGUAAAACAUAAGAACUGAUAUUUAAUACU